GCUCAGGAUGAACGCUAGCUACAGGCUUAACACAUGCAAGUCGAGGGGUAGCAGGGUAGCAAUACCGCUGACGACCGGCGCACGGGUGAGUAACACGUAUCCAACCUUCCCAUAACUCGGGGAUAGCCUUUCGAAAGAAAGAUUAAUACCCGAUAGUACUUUAUUAAGGCAUCUUAAGAAAGUUAAAGAUUUAUUGGUUAUGGAUGGGGAUGCGUUCCAUUAGAUAGUUGGUGAGGUAACGGCUCACCAAGUCUUCGAUGGAUAGGGGUUCUGAGAGGAAGGUCCCCCACAUUGGUACUGAGACACGGACCAAACUCCUACGGGAGGCAGCAGUGAGGAAUAUUGGUCAAUGGGCGAGAGCCUGA
RNAcentral lists this ribosomal RNA (365 nucleotides) under uncultured Bacteroidales bacterium. Its description in RNAcentral is "bacterial SSU rRNA". It matches the Rfam family "Bacterial small subunit ribosomal RNA", at positions 22 to 386 of the family's 1533-position model. Lineage: Bacteria; Pseudomonadati; Bacteroidota; Bacteroidia; Bacteroidales. The record is from RNAcentral.